GAUGAAGAACGUAGCGAAAUGCGAUAAGUAAUGUGAAUUGCAGAAUUCAGUGAAUCAUCGAAUCUUUGAACGCACCUUGCGCCCUUUGGCCAUUCCGAAGGGCAUGCCUGUUUGAGUAUCAUGAACGCCUCAACUCUUUAUGGUUUUCCAUGAUGAGCUUGGACUCUGGGGGUUUUGCUGGCUCACAGUCGGCUCCUCUAAAAUGAAUCAGCUUACCAGUGUUUGGUGGGUAUCAUGGGUGUGAUAACUAUCUACGCUUGUGGUUUUUCCACCAGGUAACCUUCAGCAGUGGAGGUUCGCUGGAGCUCAUAGAUGUCUCUCCUCAGUGAGGACAGCCCUUUGAAUGUUUGAUCUCAAAUCAGGUAGGACUACCCGCUGAACUUAAGCAUAUCAAUAAGCGGAGGA
This 405-nucleotide unclassified non-coding RNA is filed under the name soil metagenome. RNAcentral's name for it is "partial contains 5.8S ribosomal RNA, internal transcribed spacer 2, and large subunit ribosomal RNA". The stretch from base 1 to 121 matches the Rfam family "5.8S ribosomal RNA", at positions 35 to 154 of the family's 154-position model. The record is from RNAcentral.